AUGCAAGUCGAGGGGUAUAGUAGCAAUACUAGAGACCGGCGCACGGGUGCGUAACGCGUAUGCAAUCUACCUUUUACAGAGGGAUAGCCCAGAGAAAUUUGGAUUAAUACCUCAUAGUAUAGCGACCUGGCAUCAGGAUGUUAUUAAAGUCACAACGGUAAAAGAUGAGCAUGCGUCCCAUUAGCUAGUUGGUAAGGUAACGGCUUACCAAGGCGACGAUGGGUAGGGGUCCUGAGAGGGAGAUCCCCCACACUGGUACUGAGACACGGACCAGACUCCUACGGGAGGCAGCAGUGAGGAAUAUUGGACAAUGGGCGCAAGCCUGAUCCAGCCAUGCCGCGUGCAGGAUGACGGUCCUAUGGAUUGUAAACUGCUUUUGUACAGGAAGAAACCCUUUCACGUGUGAAAGAUUGACGGUACUGUAAGAAUAAGGAUCGGCUAACUCCGUGCCAGCAGCCGCGGUAAUACGGAGGAUCCAAGCGUUAUCCGGAAUCAUUGGGUUUAAAGGGUCCGUAGGCGGCCAGAUAAGUCAGUGGUGAAAGCCCAUCGCUCAACGGUGGAACGGCCAUUGAUACUGUCUGGCUUGAAUUACAAGGAAGUAACUAGAAUAUGUAGUGUAGCGGUGAAAUGCUUAGAGAUUACAUGGAAUACCAAUUGCGAAGGCAGGUUACUACUUGUGGAUUGACGCUGAUGGACGAAAGCGUGGGUAGCGAACAGGAUUAGAUACCCUGGUAGUCCACGCCGUAAACGAUGGAUACUAGCUGUUGGGAGCAAUCUCAGUGGCUAAGCGAAAGUGAUAAGUAUCCCACCUGGGGAGUACGGGCGCAAGCCUGAAACUCAAAGGAAUUGACGGGGGCCCGCACAAGCGGUGGAGCAUGUGGUUUAAUUCGAUGAUACGCGAGGAACCU
This 908-nucleotide ribosomal RNA is filed under the name uncultured Flavobacteriaceae bacterium. Its description in RNAcentral is "bacterial SSU rRNA". It matches the Rfam family "Bacterial small subunit ribosomal RNA", at positions 55 to 971 of the family's 1533-position model. The record is from RNAcentral. Lineage: Bacteria; Pseudomonadati; Bacteroidota; Flavobacteriia; Flavobacteriales; Flavobacteriaceae.